Molecule: ribosomal RNA, 229 nt
Filed under: uncultured bacterium
Lineage: Bacteria
Description: partial 16S ribosomal RNA
Rfam family: Bacterial small subunit ribosomal RNA
Source: RNAcentral
UGCGUAGGCGGAAGAUUAAGUCAGUAGUGAAAUCCUGCAGCUCAACUGUAGAACUGUUAUUGAUACUGAUCUUCUUGAAUACAGUUGAGGUAGGCGGAAUAUGUAAUGUAGCGGUGAAAUGCUUAGAUAUUACAUAGAACACCGAUUGCGAAGGCAGCUUACUAAACUGUGAUUGACGCUGAGGCACGAAAGCGUGGGGAGCGAACAGGAUUAGAUACCCUGGUAGUCC